This is a long non-coding RNA of Oryzias melastigma (Indian medaka), 3086 nucleotides long. RefSeq lists it as uncharacterized. The record is from RefSeq and is a predicted model, not a curated record. The transcript is spliced from 2 exons. NCBI's taxonomy places the organism in Eukaryota, Metazoa, Chordata, Actinopteri, Beloniformes, Adrianichthyidae.
AUUGUAGUUAAGAGAAACAUUUCCAGAUAAAAAUCCAGAUCUGGGAUGCAUUGAUAAUCGAUUUAUAAUAAAACUAUUUUAUAAUCUGAUCGAAUCGUGAGGUGUUUCAAGAUUCCCAUCUGUAAUCUUGAUCCCAAACUUCCACUGCAGGUGAAGUUUUCCACAUUCCUUGUAUUUCUUGUCAGAUAAUCAAGUGUAGAUUAAAUAUGUGUUCAAACAAACAAAUUAACAGGAGUUAAUGUCAAAUCUGUUCACAUUCUAAUUUGAUAAAGUUCAGUCCACUUUUGUUUUUCCACUUUAAAAUAAUCAUUGCUAGAACAUUCUACCACAUGUUUGAUCACGUCUUUGCUAAAUUCAAAGUGUUUCCACACAUUAGACUGGAAUGAUGGAUGAUAAGUUUUUGUCUGCUGUGAUGGUCGUUUUUAGUCAAAUAAAUAAACAGAUCGAUUGAUCUGGUUGGAUCGUAGGAAUAGAAAUGUAUUCAUUGGUUAAUUGAUAAAAACAUCACUCCUGCUUCUGCUUUGGGCUGUUGGAAAGAUGCUAAAAUCUCAACGGCGUCCCUCUUUUAAAGACCCGCUCAGAUAAAAAUUGUGUUUUUGAUGUUUUUAACAUGUUCUUCUUUUUGUGAUGUAGAAAAUACGCCGGGUGUCUCCCUGCUCCGCUCCAUUUGUAGACAAAUAGAUCCAGGAACGUCUUUGUUUUUCUCGUCUGGAAUCUGGUUAUUUCGCCAUUUUUAUUGUACUGGUUGGAGGUGGGAGGGGCUGUAAGCUAGCAGAAGAGAGUGUAAACAGAGAGCUCUCAGCAACAGGGAGGGAAAGGAGGGGAGAGGUUCAUUUCUAAUGAAAUCUUGCCACUCUGCAGAAACUAUGUCCCAGAAAGCGACGCACGUUUUUGAUUUUGGCAAAAAAAAAAAAAAAAAAAAAACAUUAAAAAAUUGUUGGAGUGGGACUUUAAAGAUUUUUGUGGAGCCUCACAAAAAUGUCAUUUUUAAGACAACUCUCACUUACUACUGUAGGUGCAGAAUCUUAAAGAAGACUGAAAAUCUACUUACUUAAAUUUUUAAGGAGAAUAGCUAAAGGGAAUCAAAUGUAAAAGUGAGGUUGCUGUGGACUGAUCAUUUUUAUGAUUAUCACCUCGUCUGCUUACAGUGUGUGCAACAUGUGAUGUUUGCAUUAACAGAAAGAAGUCAGAAGAUCUUCUUGCAAAAAGACCAACGUAAAAUAUUGAUUAGUUACUGUGCAUCAGAACAUGUUCCUGCACUUUGGGACUUGUAGUUAUCAGGAAAUAAAGUUAAGAGAUUUAAGUUGAUUCAUACUUGAUUUAGUUUUACUGUAAAUUAAAUAUUUUGAUUCCAAAUCUAAACAUUUAGCUUCCUAAAAUGCACAAACUACAGAUUAAAAACCGUAAUGACCUAAACUGGGUUUUAUAUGUAUAUAUAUGGAUUUGUCUGUGUGUAGUUUAGUUUAUGAAUUUAUCAUUACAGCACAAAUACAUUAAGCUUAAAAAGCAAAGAUGUUUGCAGCAAAUUGUAGAUAUAUAGCUAAUAGUAGAAAUCACAAAUGCAUGAUGGGAAAUUCAAACUCAACUCUGGGUGUUCUGUUGUUUCUCAAUGAGGUUUUAAAGAUUUGUGCAAAAUAUUAUAUGUUAUUGUUAAAUUUACUUUUAUUUAUGUAUAAUUUUGCCAAAAAAUUAGAAAAUUAAUUUAUUUUUUAUUCAGGUUUCUGUUUAAAUCCAGGAGCAGAUGAUCCAGAAAACACAAACCCUUCAGCAAUCAGGUGUUGAUUCACACUCAUCAGGAACUAGCUACAUGAGGCCAGAGUGGAUAAUUACAGUGGAAAAACCGGCAUAAGAGUCCAGCCGUCCAUCAAGAGGGCAGAGCCGAGGUCGCAGCAGAGCUGACGGGAUGAAAACGAUGACCGUAGUGGAAACAGGCGUCAGUUCAGAUCACAUCACCAGCCCUGCGGUCCUGUCAAUCAAACCAAAAAAAGUCCUGCCCUUUCGCCUCUGGAAGGUCUAAACUCCCACCGGUCCCUGUUUCUGUCAUGAGACAUGGACAGUAAACCGCAGAUUUUCAUGUAGUUUUAUUUUGAAAAAUAAUAUUUGAAUUGUUUUUGCAAAAUAUUAUCUCAAAAAUUGAGUGAAUUUAUUCAUCCAUGGAUCAAAAAAGUAAAUCAUACAACAAUUACAUUUGAUAAUUCUACAUGUCCUUAGUUGUUGUUCACUACAGAUGUUUAUUUCAGAAGAUGUAAUUUAAUAUACUUGAGAGGAAUGUAUUUUAGGGUAAAAUAAAAAGGAAAAACUAGUAAUAUAUGUAGAAAAAGUGUUAAAAUUAAAGUUAGAGGAAGAAGAGAAAUAGAAAAAAAUAAUUCAAUAACUCACAAAGGAUGAUAUUUGUUAUUUUUUAAAUUCCCAUAACUGCGUUUUCUUUAAGAACGUUUAUCCCCUACAAACACAAGUCUUUCUGUCGAGGAAACAGCAUCACAAAAUGUUCACUUUUCCUGCUUUUUUCCCAAACAGUUAAACUGUAGGAAUGAAUGACGAUGAAUCAAAAUGUAAAAACAGAAUCAUCUAAUCAUCAGCUUAAUUAACCCAAUAAACACGUUUUACAGCUUUCUUUAAAGUCCCACUCCAACUAUAUAUUUUUUCUAUUCUAAAAUCAUUUCCAAUCGUCUUUAAAUUAAUAUUGUGCAGUUUUUAGCUACAAUCAAAAGGCCUGUGUCCUUUUUUUAAGAAGUAUUUUUUAUAGAGUGGAAGGAGCUCAUUAGAAAUUCACUUUUGGGUUGUGUAUCUUUUGAUACGUAAGUUAGCCUCACUAAUUUCCCAUCAUCCCUUUGUUUCCACUCUCUCCCGUUAGCCCAAGCUAAACAGCAAUAUUGGAGCUAUGUAGCCACACAGUUUAGAUCCAGAUUCCAGCUCAGACGAGGAUGAUGAAGAUGGAUCUGUUUGUCUGCAAGUGGAGGAUCAGAAAUUUGGAGACUUUGUUCCUCUCAUGGUAGUAGCCGGGUCACCGGAGCUUUUUCAAGCCGCCGGUUUUCACUUUGUUCCUGAUCAUGCACGACUUGAAUGAAUAAAUACUCAGAAACACA